AGGGAGUAUAAUUGUGGGUAGAGCAGAAAUGCUAAUACUACCUGCAUGGCAGGAAAAACUAACACGUAGCCAUGGGACAUAUAAACAUCGUCGUCCACAAAUUCAUAAAUUGAGAAUGAGCACGAGUCCAUGGCAGGAAGGAGAGUGCUACACCGAUGAGUCACCGGUGGAAAAUUGAGUAUUAGUCCCGGUUGGAUAGCCUCGUAUAUCUUGAAUAUCCAACCGGGAGUAAUUUUUCGAGACUAAAGGUCCCCCUCUUUAGUCCCGGGUCACUCACCUGGGACUAAAGAUCAUCUUUAUAUUAGUC
This 307-nucleotide long non-coding RNA is filed under the name Setaria viridis. RNAcentral describes it as "long non-coding RNA (SVIR_LNC002830)". Lineage: Eukaryota; Viridiplantae; Streptophyta; Magnoliopsida; Poales; Poaceae. The record is from RNAcentral.